Molecule: transfer RNA, 77 nt
Filed under: Candidatus Adiutrix sp.
Lineage: Bacteria; Pseudomonadati; Thermodesulfobacteriota; Desulfarculia; Candidatus Adiutricales; Candidatus Adiutricaceae
Description: tRNA-Met
Rfam family: tRNA
About the family: Transfer RNA (tRNA) molecules are approximately 80 nucleotides in length. Their secondary structure includes four short double-helical elements and three loops (D, anti-codon, and T loops). Further hydrogen bonds mediate the characteristic L-shaped molecular structure. tRNAs have two regions of fundamental functional importance: the anti-codon, which is responsible for specific mRNA codon recognition, and the 3' end, to which the tRNAs corresponding amino acid is attached (by aminoacyl-tRNA synthetases). tRNAs cope with the degeneracy of the genetic code in two manners: having more than one tRNA (with a specific anti-codon) for a particular amino acid; and 'wobble' base-pairing, i.e. permitting non-standard base-pairing at the 3rd anti-codon position.
Source: RNAcentral
UGCGGGGUGGAGCAGCCAGGUAGCUCGUCGGGCUCAUAACCCGAAGGUCUCCAGUUCGAAUCUGGACCCCGCUACCA